RNAcentral lists this ribosomal RNA (420 nucleotides) under uncultured bacterium. RNAcentral's name for it is "bacterial SSU rRNA". It matches the Rfam family "Bacterial small subunit ribosomal RNA", at positions 29 to 434 of the family's 1533-position model. The record is from RNAcentral.
AAUGAACGCUGGCGGCGUGCUUAACACAUGCAAGUCGUGCGCGAAGGAGGCUUCGGCUUCCGGAGAGCGGCGAACGGGUGAGUAACACGUGGGUAAUCUGCCUGGGAGCGUGGGAUAACCUGGGGAAACUCGGGCUAAUACCGCGUACGUUGAUGGGACUAUGGUUCUGUCAAGAAAGCUGGCCUCUGUUUACAAGCUAGCGCUCCCAGAGGAGCCCGCGGCUGAUUAGCUAGUUGGUGAGGUAAUGGCUCACCAAGGCUUCGAUCAGUAGCCGGCCUGAGGGGGUGAUCGGCCACACUGGGACUGAGACACGGCCCAGACUCCUACGGGAGGCAGCAGUGGGGAAUAUUGGACAAUGGGCGCAAGCCUGAUCCAGCAACGCCGCGUGGAGGAUGAAGGUCUUCGGGAUCGUAAACUCCU